UACGUAGGUGGCAAGCGUUGUCCGGAAUUAUUGGGCGUAAAGCGCGCGCAGGCGGUCUUUUAAGUCUGAUGUGAAAGCCCACGGCUCAACCAUGGAGGGUCAUUGGAAACUGGAAGACUUGAAUGAAGAAGAGGAAAGUGGAAUUCCAUGUGUAGCGGUGAAAUGCGUAGAUAUAUGGAGGAACACCAGUGGCGAAGGCGACUUUCUGGUCUGUAACUGAUGCUGAGGCGCGAAAGCGUGGGGAGCGAACAGG
RNAcentral lists this unclassified non-coding RNA (253 nucleotides) under uncultured Caryophanales bacterium. RNAcentral's name for it is "uncultured Bacillales bacterium contains 16S-23S intergenic spacer region". It matches the Rfam family "Bacterial small subunit ribosomal RNA", at positions 524 to 776 of the family's 1533-position model. The record is from RNAcentral. Lineage: Bacteria; Bacillati; Bacillota; Bacilli; Caryophanales.